UGCUGUGUAUGAACUUUCACCCAGCUGCAUUCUCCUGAUGAGGUGUUCAAAAAGCUGUGCUACAGCAGUGCAGUGUUUGGCAUCACUGGUUUUCAUUCAGCUGUGUCUGUUAAACCUGCUGUUUUUUCUGAAACAGUC
Molecule: small nucleolar RNA, 138 nt
Organism: Neopelma chrysocephalum (saffron-crested tyrant-manakin)
Lineage: Eukaryota; Metazoa; Chordata; Aves; Passeriformes; Pipridae
Product: small nucleolar RNA SNORA8
Exons: 1
Source: RefSeq, a predicted model, not a curated record